CCCUUAGACGUUCUGGGCCGCACGCGCGCUACACUGACCAGUGCAACAAGCAUCCGUCCUUGGCCGACAGGCCCGGGCAAUCUUUGAACGCUGGUCGUGAUGGGGAUAGACUUUUGCAAUUUUUGGUCUUCAACGAGGAAUUCCUAGUAAACGCAAGUCAUCAACUUGCAUUGAUUACGUCCCUGCCCUUUGUACACACCGCCCGUCGCACCUACCGAUUGAAUGGUCCGGUGAAGCCUCCGGAUUGGCGCGCACCUCGGUGCCGCCGAGAAGUUGGCUAAACCUUACCAUUUAGAAGAAGGUGAAGUCGUAACA
This 315-nucleotide ribosomal RNA is filed under the name uncultured eukaryote. RNAcentral describes it as "partial 18S ribosomal RNA". It matches the Rfam family "Eukaryotic small subunit ribosomal RNA", at positions 1470 to 1796 of the family's 1831-position model. The record is from RNAcentral.